AACGAACGCUGGCGGCGUGCCUAACACAUGCAAGUCGAGCGAGAAAGUCCCGGCAACGGGAUGAGUACAGCGGCGAACGGGUGAGUAACGCGUGGGUAAUCUACCCUCCAGCUCGGGAUAACCUGCCGAAAGGUGGGCUAAUACCGGAUGAUGUUCCCGUGGGGAUCCUGCGGGAAGCAAAGGGGGCGAGCGUAAGCAGCUCUCACUGGAGGAGGAGCCUGCGUCCGANAGUCUAGUUGGUGGGGUAAUGGCCUACCAAGGCGACGAUCGGUAGCCGGCCUGAGAGGGCGACCGGCCACACUGGAACUGAGACACGGUCCAGACUCCUACGGGAGGCAGCAGUGGGGAAUCUUGCGCAAUGGGCGAAAGCCUGACGCAGCGACGCCGCGUGGGCG
This 395-nucleotide ribosomal RNA is filed under the name uncultured bacterium. RNAcentral describes it as "bacterial SSU rRNA". It matches the Rfam family "Bacterial small subunit ribosomal RNA", at positions 28 to 407 of the family's 1533-position model. The record is from RNAcentral.